This 369-nucleotide ribosomal RNA is filed under the name uncultured organism. RNAcentral's name for it is "bacterial SSU rRNA". It matches the Rfam family "Bacterial small subunit ribosomal RNA", at positions 526 to 896 of the family's 1533-position model. The record is from RNAcentral.
CGAAGGGGGCUAGCGUUGCUCGGAAUUACUGGGCGUAAAGGGCGCGUAGGCGGACAGUUUAGUCAGAGGUGAAAGCCCAGGGCUCAACCCUGGAAUUGCCUUUGAUACUGGCUGUCUUGAGUACGGGAGAGGUGUGUGGAACUCCGAGUGUAGAGGUGAAAUUCGUAGAUAUUCGGAAGAACACCAGUGGCGAAGGCGACACACUGGCCCGUUACUGACGCUGAGGCGCGAAAGCGUGGGGAGCAAACAGGAUUAGAUACCCUGGUAGUCCACGCUGUAAACGAUGAGUGCUAGUUGUCGGCAUGCAUGCAUGUCGGUGACGCAGCUAACGCAUUAAGCACUCCGCCUGGGGAUACGGUCGCAAGAUUA